AGUGAACGCUGGCGGUAGGCCUAACACAUGCAAGUCGAACGGCAGCACAGUAAGAGCUUGCUCUUACGGGUGGCGAGUGGCGUACGGUUGAGGAAUACAUCGGAAUCUACUUUUUCGUGGGGGAUAACGUAGGUAAACUUACGCUAAUACCGCAUACGACCUACGGUUGAAAGCAGGGGAUCUUCGGACCUUGCGCGUUUGAAUGAGCCGAUGUCGGAUUAGCUAGUUGGCUGGGUAAAGGCCCACCAAGGCGACGAUCCGUAGCUGGUCUGAGGGGAUGAUCAGAAAAACUGGAACGGAGAAACGGAAAAGACAAAUACGGGAGGCAGCAGUGGGGAAUAUUGGACAAUGGGCGCAAGCAUGAUAAAGCAAUACCGCGUGGGUGAAGAAGGACUUUGGGUUGUAAAGACCUUUUGUUGGGAAAGAAAAGAAGCAGGUUAAUACCCCGCUGUUAUGACGGUACCCAAAGAAUAAGCACCGGCUAACUUCGUG
This 492-nucleotide ribosomal RNA is filed under the name uncultured bacterium. Its description in RNAcentral is "partial 16S ribosomal RNA". It matches the Rfam family "Bacterial small subunit ribosomal RNA", at positions 29 to 507 of the family's 1533-position model. The record is from RNAcentral.